CAUCUUCAAUCCAAACACACCUCUUCUUCCUCAUAGAUUCAUCUUCAAUCCAAACACACAUCUUCUUCCUAAUUCUUCACCACCAUCUCCACCUUUCACCACCACCACCAUCCACCUUUCACCACCAUACCCCACCCUUCACUCCGAAUUGUCGCUACCUCGUUAUUCUGGAGCCGAUUUCAAGUGAACUUAUUCUAAACGAGCUUUAAGCAAGUCUUGAUUCACGAGCUAUAUCAACAGACCUAAUUCUGAUUAUCUGAAAGCUGUAAUUUGUUAUUUGCUGAUUGUUGAAUGUGAUCUAAAUGUGCAGAGGAGAAGAGUACUAAGAAGCAUCUGCAAGCACAAACUUUGUAUUUCCAACUAAGUGAAGCCAUGGAUUUUUUAUACCAUAUCUGCACAGAAGGUUGCAAGAAGAGAGUUAACGGAGGUUGUGUUCGGUGUAAACGUAUGUGGCAGCUCUUCAAACUCCACUCCUCAAUUUGUGAUCAAUCACCCGAUACAUCAUGCAAAGUCCCCCUCUGCAGGCAAGGGCACGGUGAAUGGUGGUGGUGAAAGAUGGAGAUGGUGGUAAAGAAUUUGGAAGAAGAUGUAUGUUUGGAUUGAAGAUGAAUCUGAAUAUGAGGAAGAAGAGGUGUGUUUGGAUUGAAGGUGGUUAUUGAUUUAAAGUUAUUUUUUUAAUAUUAAGGGUAUUUAAGUCAUUUCACACCCACUUAACUGAAAAGACUAACCUCCAUCCGUGCCAGGGACUAUCUGGGAACGAAAUUGAAAAACUUGGGGACUAUAGCUGUAAUUUUAGAAAGUUAGGGACUAAAGAUGAAAAAAGUCCAAACCACAGGGACUAUCCGGGCAUUUAACUCUUCUCUUUAUGUAAAGUCGUAAAGAUAUACCUUUUUUUCUUUCAAA
Helianthus annuus (common sunflower) is the source of this 903-nucleotide long non-coding RNA. RefSeq lists it as uncharacterized. The record is from RefSeq and is a predicted model, not a curated record. The transcript is spliced from 2 exons. NCBI's taxonomy places the organism in Eukaryota, Viridiplantae, Streptophyta, Magnoliopsida, Asterales, Asteraceae.